This 1937-nucleotide long non-coding RNA is filed under the name Scleropages formosus (Asian bonytongue). RNAcentral's name for it is "lncRNA (ENSSFOG00015029477.1)". Lineage: Eukaryota; Metazoa; Chordata; Actinopteri; Osteoglossiformes; Osteoglossidae. The record is from RNAcentral.
CAAAGGUUGAGUCCAUGAAACAACCUGCAGCCCCGGAAUCUAUCAACGCGCGUGUCCAGAAGCCUGGCCCAAUCUCCAGGAUGUGACUAUGGGCAUAGUUAAUUGAGUGAUGAGGCGCUGAGACCCACUGACCUUUGGUUCCUGGUGGGACUCCAUCGGUGGCGGAGGGCGAACCGGGCAAGAGGCGCGGAGGUGUCUAGGAUCUCCACAGUACAGGCACAAUCUGUCUCUGAAUCAGUGUUGUCUCUCGGCAGACGACAUCCACCCUUGUCUGAGCUGCAUGGGCUCCGGUGUCUCGGGAAGAGAUCUGAACAUUGCUGGAGCCACCUAGGGCUGCGGAGCCCUUUCCCGGCCAGGUUGUCGAUGGCCACGGACCGGUCGAAGGUCUGGUCUUCUCCUCGCAACUCGUAGGUGGUGGGAGAGCGCUUGCUACAGACUGCCAUAGCCCAUUUCAACACCGGACCCGUCAGCAAUGAGUUCAGGUAGGUGAUCUUGCUGUCAUCUGUUUGAUAAACAUGCGGCAGAUUGGCAAAAACUAACUCACACUGGAGCAGGAAGCCUUGGCAGACGUCAGGAGUCCCGUCGUACCUUUCAGGCGUGGCCAGGAGAGGGUCCGUGGCAGAGACGGGCAGAGCCGGGGCUGACGGUAUUAGCCAACACAGACGAGGGCGGCUCGGAAGCGGCAUCCGCGUCAGCUGCCUCCAAAAUGCCCCUUGCCUGGAACGGUAGGAUAAGUCCCUGCAGGGUCUCCAUGAGCUGUUUCAGAGUCUGAUCAUGUGAGCCCAGCAUGGCAUCUUGUGCAGAGACCGCGGUUUGGAGAAUCUUCAGAACCGUUGGGUCUAUUUAUGAGGCGGAACCUUCUGUCAUGCCAAGGCGUUGGGUCACGGGGAGCCAGAGCCCAACCUGGCAACAGGACACACCCAGGAUGGGACACCCGUCUGUCGCCAGGCACCCCAAGCAGGACUCAAACCCCAGACCCAUUGGACAGCAGGACCCAGUCCAACCCACUGCGCCACUGCACCCCGCUUGAAGUAAUACCUGUGUUUUUAAAUUAAAUGAUUAGUUCUGUUCUUGCUUUACUAUUCCAACACCAGGGGUACAUUAAAGCCAUUUUACAGCUGAUUAUCACACUUCAAACCAAGGAACUACAACAUGGGUGACAUCUGAGACACCUUCUCUACUGUCUUGUAGGCUACUCUUUACAUUGUACAACUGCAGUUUUACUUUGUAAUGUAUAACUAUGAAUUAUAUUUAUCUCUCCGAAACUGCACUAAGUUUGAUUUUCUGGCGGCCCAUAUAAUGUAAAUAACAGUAUGUGUGCUUAACAGAAACAUCUUUUUCCCCCUUUUCUGCAAAGUCAUUAACUUUCUGCCAGCGUUCACCCCAGUGAAGAGAAUAUGAGCUACCAUAAUUUCCCUGCAGGGUUGGAAAUAUUUAAUUAACAUUAAUUAUGUAACUCGCCACUGAUGUGCCUGCUGUUUUGAAAACAGACACAGCGUGUGUUUUGCAUUAAAUAUCAUGGAUUUGAAAGUUAUACACAGUGGAUAACUGAAUAUGUCAGAAUCUCUUUUUGUCAGUCUUUCAGGGAGGGUGGUAAUGUGAAGACAGAGAAUGGUGACCUGGGGGCUCAAAUGAUAGAUAGAUAGAUAGAUAGAUAGAUGAGGGCCACGGAAUACCUGGCUCUGACCAUCUCCGACACCAUCCACAGCACUUAAAGUCUGCAAAGCAAACAGCUGCGGGUGUUGAUGGGACACCGGAGAGCAGACCAGCAGCACGCCGUACAUCCGGCAGCCUGGCGCCAAAAGGACAAAGUAAAGACCUCAUCAAAAAACAUUUACUUUGGCUCAUUUAAGACGUAACGCGGAGCCGUUAAGCUGUUUAGGGGCCACGGAUGCGGCUCGUAUGAUUCCCGGCGGCCAGCUACGCGGAGCGUGGAC